GUACGGAACGAAACGGCCCUCAAAAAGAGGGCUAAUGACGGUACCGUAAGAAAAGCACCGGCUAACUACGUGCCAGCAGCCGCGGUAAUACGUAGGGUGCAAGCGUUAAUCGGAAUUACUGGGCGUAAAGCGUGCGCAGGCGGUUAUGUAAGACAGUUGUGAAAUCCCCGGGCUCAACCUGGGAAUUGCAUCUGUGACUGCAUAGCUUGAGUACGGUAGAGGGGGACGGAACCCGCGUGUAGCAGUGAAAUGCGUAGAUAUGCGGAGGAACACCGAGGCGAAGGCAAUCCCCUGGACCUGUACUGACGCUCAUGCACGAAAGCGUGGGGAGCAAACAGGAUUAGAUACCCUGGUAGUCCACGCCCUAAACGAUGUCAACUGGUUGUUGGGUCUUCACUGACUCAGUAACGAAGCCUACGCGUGAAGUUGACCGCCUGGGGAGUACGGCCGCAAGGUUGUAACUCUAAGGAAUUGACGGGGACCCGCACAAGCGGUGGAUGAUGUGGUUUAACUCUAUGCAACGCGAAAAAACCUUACCCACCUUUGACAUGUACGGAAUUUUCCAGAG
This 568-nucleotide ribosomal RNA is filed under the name Variovorax sp. Ri2Pt_4095. RNAcentral's name for it is "bacterial SSU rRNA". It matches the Rfam family "Bacterial small subunit ribosomal RNA", at positions 434 to 1005 of the family's 1533-position model. Lineage: Bacteria; Pseudomonadati; Pseudomonadota; Betaproteobacteria; Burkholderiales; Comamonadaceae. The record is from RNAcentral.